Molecule: ribosomal RNA, 204 nt
Filed under: uncultured bacterium
Lineage: Bacteria
Description: partial 16S ribosomal RNA
Rfam family: Bacterial small subunit ribosomal RNA
Source: RNAcentral
ACUGUAGGCUGCAACUCGCCUACACGAAGUUGGAAUUGCUAGUAAUCGUGGAUCGGCAUGCCACGGUGAAUACGUUCCCGGGUCUUGUACACACCGCCCGUCACACCAUGGGAGCUGGUAACACCCGAAGUCAGUAGUCUAACCGCAAGGAGGACGCUGCCGAAGGUGGGAUUGGCGACUGGGGUGAAGUCGUAACAAGGUAAC